This 485-nucleotide ribosomal RNA is filed under the name uncultured Lachnospiraceae bacterium. RNAcentral's name for it is "bacterial SSU rRNA". It matches the Rfam family "Bacterial small subunit ribosomal RNA", at positions 8 to 507 of the family's 1533-position model. The record is from RNAcentral. Lineage: Bacteria; Bacillati; Bacillota; Clostridia; Lachnospirales; Lachnospiraceae.
AGAGUUUGAUCCUGGCUCAGGAUGAACGCUGGCGGCGUGCCUAACACAUGCAAGUCAACGGACUCAUACUGAAACCUAGUGAUUUAUGAGUUAGUGGCGACGGGUGAGUAACGCGUGGAUAACCUGCCGUAUACCGGGGGAUAACACUUAGAAUAGGUGCUAAUACCGCAUGAGCGCACAGCUCCGCAUGGAGCGGUGUGAAAAACUCCGGUGGUAUACGAUGGAUCCGCGUCUGAUUAGCCAGUUGGCGGGGUAACGGCCCACCAAAGCGACGAUCAGUAGCCGGCCUGAGAGGGUGGACGGCCACAUUGGGACUGAGACACGGCCCAGACUCCUACGGGAGGCAGCAGUGGGGAAUAUUGCACAAUGGGGGAAACCCUGAUGCAGCGACGCCGCGUGAGUGAAGAAGUAUCUCGGUAUGUAAAGCUCUAUCAGCAGGAAAGAUAAUGACGGUACCUGACUAAGAAGCCCCGGCUAACUACGUG